CGAUUGAAUGGCUCAGUGAGGCUUCCGGACUGGCCAGAGGAGGUCGGCAACGACCACCUCGGGCCGGAAAGUUAUCCAAACUCGGUCAUUUAGAGGAAGUAAAAGUCGUAACAAGGUCUCCGUUGGUGAACCAGCGGAGGGAUCAUU
RNAcentral lists this ribosomal RNA (147 nucleotides) under Melogramma campylosporum. RNAcentral describes it as "partial 18S ribosomal RNA". It matches the Rfam family "Eukaryotic small subunit ribosomal RNA", at positions 1686 to 1830 of the family's 1831-position model. Lineage: Eukaryota; Fungi; Ascomycota; Sordariomycetes; Amphisphaeriales; Melogrammataceae. The record is from RNAcentral.